CCACACAUGUUAUACUUGCAUUCAAAACGAUUUCCAAUUGCUUUUCAAUAACCCAUGAAUUCUUAACGCCCCAAGUUAAUUAGGUCCGCUUAAAUUAACCUUCAGAUUUUUCUAACGUUAUUGAAUUGGAUGAUUGCAUACGACAACCCAAAGCAUUCCCCACAAGUUCCCUACAUGAUUGCAUAAUAAAGAUACAAGCAAGAAUCAUUAAGUUCUAUGAAAACCAUAAGCAUUGACGAAGCACUUGUUACUAUGAUUG
Molecule: long non-coding RNA, 259 nt
Filed under: Malus domestica (apple)
Lineage: Eukaryota; Viridiplantae; Streptophyta; Magnoliopsida; Rosales; Rosaceae
Description: long non-coding RNA (MDOM_LNC012271)
Source: RNAcentral